This 70-nucleotide transfer RNA is filed under the name Leiolepis belliana belliana. RNAcentral describes it as "tRNA-Trp". Lineage: Eukaryota; Metazoa; Chordata; Lepidosauria; Squamata; Agamidae. The record is from RNAcentral.
AAGCAUUUAGGAUAAUAUCAAACCAAGGGCCUUCAAAGUCCUAAAUAAGAGCGAAACCUCUUAAUCCUUG